AACGAACGCUGGCGGCAUGCCUAACACAUGCAAGUCGAACGAGAUCUUCGGGUCUAGUGGCGCACGGGUGCGUAACGCGUGGGAAUCUGCCCUUUGGUUCGGAAUAACAGUUGGAAACGACUGCUAAUACCGGAUGAUGACGAAAGUCCAAAGAUUUAUCGCCAGAGGAUGAGCCCGCGUAGGAUUAGCUAGUUGGUGUGGUAAAGGCGCACCAAGGCGACGAUCCUUAGCUGGUCUGAGAGGAUGAUCAGCCACACUGGGACUGAGACACGGCCCAGACUCCUACGGGAGGCAGCAGUGGGGAAUAUUGGACAAUGGGCGAAAGCCUGAUCCAGCAAUGCCGCGUGAGUGAUGAAGGCCUUAGGGCUGUAAAGCUCUUUACCCGGGAUGAUAAUGACAGUACCGGGAGAAUAAGCUCCGGCAAACUCCGUGCCAGCCGCCGCCGUAA
RNAcentral lists this ribosomal RNA (448 nucleotides) under uncultured bacterium. Its description in RNAcentral is "partial 16S ribosomal RNA". It matches the Rfam family "Bacterial small subunit ribosomal RNA", at positions 29 to 523 of the family's 1533-position model. The record is from RNAcentral.